CCUACGGGAGGCAGCAGUGGGGAAUAUUGGACAAUGGGGGAAACCCUGAUCCAGCGACGCCGCGUGAGUGAAGAAGUAUUUCGGUACGUAAAGCUCUAUCAGCAGGAAAGAAAAUGACGGUACCUGACUAAGAAGCCCCGGCUAACUACGUGCCAGCAGCCGCGGUACUACGUAGGGGGCAAGCGUUAUCCGGAUUUACUGGGUGUAAAGGGAGCGUAGACGGCAGGGCAAGUCUGCAGUGAAAUGCCGGGGCGCAACCCCGGAACUGCACUGGAAACUGUGAAGCUGGAGUGAAGGAGAGGUAAGCGGAAUUCCUGGUGUAGCGGUGAAAUGCGUAGAUAUCAGGAGGAACACCGGCGGCGAAGGCGGCUUACUGGACUGUAACUGACGUUGAAGCACGAAAGCGUGGGGAUCGAACAUGAUUAGAUACCCCAGUAGUC
Molecule: ribosomal RNA, 440 nt
Filed under: uncultured bacterium
Lineage: Bacteria
Description: partial 16S ribosomal RNA
Rfam family: Bacterial small subunit ribosomal RNA
Source: RNAcentral